RNAcentral lists this ribosomal RNA (496 nucleotides) under uncultured bacterium. RNAcentral's name for it is "partial 16S ribosomal RNA". It matches the Rfam family "Bacterial small subunit ribosomal RNA", at positions 28 to 506 of the family's 1533-position model. The record is from RNAcentral.
GACGAACGCUGGCGGCGUGCCUAAUACAUGCAAGUUGAGCGAUGAAGCUUGGUGCUUGCACCAAUUUGAAGAGCAGCGAACGGGUGAGUAACGCGUGGGGAAUCUGCCUUUGAGCGGGGGACAACAUUUGGAAACGAAUGCUAAUACCGCAUAACAACUUUAAACAUAAGUUUUAAGUUUGAAAGAUGCAAUUGCAUCACUCAAAGAUGAUCCCGCGUUGUAUUAGCUAGUUGGUGAGGUAAAGGCUCACCAAGGCGAUGAUACAUAGCCGACCUGAGAGGGGGAGAGGCAAGAUUGGGAAUGGGACAGGGACCAAAGUAAGGCGGGAGGAGGAAGGAGGGAAUGUUCGGGAAGGGAAGAAAUUCGGACAGAGCAGCGGCGAGGGAGGGAAGAAGGUUUUAGGAUCUAAAAAAUCUGUUGGUAGAGAAGACCGUUGGUGAGAGGGGAAAGCUCAUCAAGUGACGGUAACUACCGAGAAAGGGACGGCUAGCUACGU